GCCGAAGUGGCGAAAUUGGCAGACGCGCUAGGUUCAGGUCCUAGUUCCGGUUAAACGGAGUGGAGGUUCGAGUCCUCUCUUCGGCA
This 86-nucleotide transfer RNA is filed under the name Planctomycetaceae bacterium. Its description in RNAcentral is "tRNA-Leu". It matches the Rfam family "tRNA". Rfam says of the family: Transfer RNA (tRNA) molecules are approximately 80 nucleotides in length. Their secondary structure includes four short double-helical elements and three loops (D, anti-codon, and T loops). The record is from RNAcentral. Lineage: Bacteria; Pseudomonadati; Planctomycetota; Planctomycetia; Planctomycetales; Planctomycetaceae.